Tachysurus fulvidraco (yellow catfish) is the source of this 2420-nucleotide long non-coding RNA. RefSeq lists it as uncharacterized. The record is from RefSeq and is a predicted model, not a curated record. The transcript has 4 exons. Lineage: Eukaryota; Metazoa; Chordata; Actinopteri; Siluriformes; Bagridae.
CUUGUGAAAUGGAAUAAAUGUACUGUCUAAGUUGAUGGCAAUCAUUGUAAUAUACAGUAUGUGAACAUAUUCUCAGAACCUUGCCCCAGUGACAAGAGAAUAUCGUGGGCACAGCACCUCGAUGUUGUGAGAGUCUAUGACUGAGACUAGGCUAUUUAUGACCUUAAGAAAUAGGGUGUUUUGUUGUCCAAGUGUGACGACUCUAGAUCUCAAAGCCUCUGUGGGUAAACACGGGUAUGCAGGGGCAGAACGACGUAAUUACAGCUGCCACCACCGGUGAGUAAUAGCCAUGCUCAAAGGCAACAAGGCACUCUUUGUGCGUCACUUUAGAUCCGGCUCUAAUGUCACCACAAAACAAUUGCCCCCUAACGAGCGCUUCUUCAGCCAAAUGGCGAGCGUGACUGGUGAUCGGUGGCAGAUUUGUGCUUGUGCAGUGUGUGUAGAUUAUCAGAACAUGCUGGUGAUAUUGCUCUCGGCCUGAGGGAUGGUGCAGGUGCCGCUUUGUUUCCUCUCACAAUUGCACUCAGUUAUUACUUUGUUCUGCCCUGUUAUGACAGAGCCUAAGUGUGGAAAAAGCGUAUUCAUUGUCUAAUAAAAUCAACUAGCAUACAGAUUGAUGUAUUGAAUCUGAAGCGUUUCCUCUUGUUUGGUCUGUGUGUAUUUGCGCUGUCUGUUUCUCAGUGUUGAAAAAUGAGCUUUGUGGUUACACCAGUGCAGUCUGGAAUCCCUGUCUAGAGCAGUGAGUCAGUGGAAGUGAGUCUCAGAGCACACUGGCUGUCACUUUACUAUUAGCACAGCUGCAUGUUUCCUGUCACACUAUGUUCGCUUAGCUCUGGAGAACUCAACCUGGGGUUUCACUUCACUGGAACUCAGAGGCCCAAACCUGUUCCAGCAGGAUAAUGCCACAUACACAAAAUGAGCUCCAUGAAGAGACGGUUUGGCAAGGUUGGUAAAGGAACUUAAGUAUCCUACACGGAGGUCUGAACUGGACUCACCCUCAGUGAUGUACUGGAACACCGACUGCACCCAGUCCCUCUCACUAAACAGUGUCUGAUCUCAUUAAUGCUCUUUUAGCUGAACGGAAACUAAACUCCACAGCUAAGCUCGAACUCCUAUUGGAAAUCCUUCAUAGAAGAAUGGAGGAUAUUCUAACAGAAAGUGGGGACUAUAUCCGGAAUGCAGCUUUCAUCAUGGCAAGUGCAUAAUGGUUUGCUGUUCAGAGGUCAACAAACCUUUGGUCAUAUAGUUUACAUCUUAUUAUCAGCACAGACCGUGUUUCCUGAUCCAGUCCUCAGGGACCUAAAGACUGUCUCUGCUGCAGCUCCCAACACGGCUGAAGCAAACAAACAAGAACACUGAAAACCUGGUCCAGGUCAGGCCUAGACUUAAUACUGUGUAAAAAUGUAAUCACUGAGGAGUAUGCUGAUUUUUUUUACCCUGCAGCUGAGUGUGUUAAUCUGUGUUAACAAUAUACAAGCAUUACUUUGGCUUUAUCUAAAAAAGAUUACAAAUCUUAACUUAAAAAAUCUUACUUCUUACUUCCUGAUCAGAGUAUAUGGAUAAAUAAAGUUUAUUAAAAUUAAUAUAUACAUACAUUUUUCCUUGAAAGAUCAUGAGAUCACUUUAAAAAUAUCGUAUUUUUUUGUAUGUACCAAAUAUUGCUUAAAAGAACCUUUUAUUCAGGAAUCUUCCAUUAAAGAUUUGUAAGAAAUGUAUUUUAGCUCCAGGACAUUCAUUCAACCCAGACACCUGAAUGAAUUUGUAUUCACAUGAUCAAGUCACAUGUUCAACAGGAAGUUGCAUCAUCCAAAUUUUCCUGAAAAACAUUAGAACAUUAGAAAGCCUUUUAUAUUGAUGGCUUCUGAAAGCCAGAGAGAUGCGACGGACCUACUCAAAGCUGUGUAGCUGUUUGAAAUCCUGUGGUCAGCCAGGGGGGAAAUGACCUUCAUCCAGUACAGGUGAAGGGCACUGUGGGAGACUGGUGUUGGUCAGACAUAAGUGAACACCUGCUGUUUACUUCAGCUGAAAGCCAGCAUGUGUUGUGCGCAAAAACUAGAAUAAUGCUUUGAAUUUUGCUCAGCAGUCAGGAAGAAUAUUUUGUUGUAUUGUAUUUCCUAUACAUGUAAGAAAUUAUAUAUGAUAUUUACUAAACAUGAUGUUACUGUGAAAAUCUAAAAAUAAUGCCACUGUUGACUCGUGCUUUGGGUGACAAACUUUUUAUCCAUAUUUGACUUUUUCAGUAAAUUAAAUUUUAAUUAUUGUUGUAAUGUGGCCCUUGUUUGCAUGUAUCAACCAAUACUGUUGAUGCACAUCAAGUCUUUCUUUCUUUCUUUCUCUCUUUCUUUCUUUCUUUCUUCCUUUCUUUCUUUUUUCUACUUCUUAUAAGAAACUACAUUAUCUAUAUAUAUACUGUAAUUUCA